GCAAAUACUUCACUCAGUGUAUAUGAGCCCUGACAGGACAUCUGUGAUCCAUGGGAUUGAGAACCAGCUCCUUCCACAUUAAGCAAUAACAAGCAGAAAGGCUUCGCUGUAUUUUGCUCUUUUUCAGCAAAAUGAAAAUUUAACUUUGCCAUCACGUUGGGAAUGGAGUAAACACUAGCCACUGAAAACUAGCAGCAGGAAGAGGUAAAUGAUUUACAAGAUAUUCUUCAAUCAUUUAGCACAUAUUUGGUUAGGGGCUAGAGUAUUCCUGAAGAAGGCAACAGUUCUCCAGGAACCUUAAUCCUAAAAUACCUGCUGCGUGGGACUGCUUCGGAGGAAACUGCAGAGAUCAGUUCUGGAUUGAGAUUGCAUCCCCAGUCUUGGAUCCUUUAACAUCCCAGAAGGAACACAUGAAAAAGAAAAAUCCCCCUACUUACACAGUGAAUAGGACGUAUUGCCUAACUGCCUACAAAAACACAGGAAUUUACCAUUCCCCGGACCCACGCAGAGCCUGCACCUCUCCAGACCAGUGGCAGAUCAGACAAGAUUUCCCACUCCUGAUGGAUCAGCAGGACCUUCCAGGGUGGUCCCACACUCGACUCCACUUCCCUGGGAAGUUUUGCUUCCUGAUUAAUGAAGAAGCUGCCCUGCCAGCCCUGGGAUGUUCCAUGGGGAGGAAGGACAUGCUGGGCAGCAAGGGAAGCACAACCACUGCCCCUAAUGCAGCCCAAAACCCCCAAAGAGCCACUCUUGCCCACCACCACCCCCAAAGAACGUCUCUGUCCUUUAAGUGCUGUGCCUCCUCCUCAGGGGGCUCCUAAUGCACUUCCCUCCUUCUGCCUCGCUGACUGCCAGAGAAGGACGUGCUCGGGGCCCCUGAGCACCCUGCAGUCACGAGCAAAAAGGGAAAGCCAAUAUACAAACUGCAGUGAUUAAUAUUAAACACGGAAUGUGCAUCUAAAGACACUAUUAAUGUUAAUGACAAAACAACAACACGACAACAAAGGCUGGGGACAGCAGACAGAUGAACGCUUGCAGAUGUGGAGGGGUUGGGAACAAACGCCAAGAGCUGCUCGAAGUUGGUUGCUGCUCAGUGCUUUCACUUUGGUGGUACCUGAACAAAUUUGCCUUGAUAAAAUACUUUGGGAAAAAGUUAGAUUUAACCUUGGCUCAGUGCAAAAACUUUAGACCCAACCCAGUGGAACGUGAAAUUAUUCUCCAAAUGCAAAUUAGCUGGUGAUGUGAUUAGCACUCACGACAGCCAUAUUAAUUGUUUGAACCCUAAGUUGACUACUGGUUGUUACAGGGAUUGUCCUGAUCACCCCUGAAUGUGGGGGCAUCCCUAUCCUGCUGUUACUGGGACGCUGAGCUGCCAUCCUGCAUCACCUCCUGUCAGAAAAGGUUCACACCCGAGAAUCAUCAUCGAUGAGAAAACAAACCAACGCAAAACCUCCCUCAGUGGCAAUUUCCAAGGAGAAGAGAGCAUCAAACGGAUUUUAAACAGGCAGGAACCCAGCAUAUGAGCAGAGUCUGGGCCAAAUGUCCUGCCAGGGGCCAGCCAGCAGGAGCCCACUGCCAAGACCUGGUCCCUAGAUCAACACCUCAGCCGUGAUAAAAAGCUGCUCUUUAAAUCAAAGGCAGCUCACAAACGAAAAAAAAAACCCCAAAGACAUAAAUCUGCAUUGGCUUCCAGCCCAGUGUGAUCUUCCAGUGUAUUUCUGCUGAUGCUACUUCUGGGAUGGGACAAAGGAAAUGGAUGACACGGAGACGGCUGUGGCAGGAAGACCACCAGAUUGCCCGUAAAGAGGAGCAGGCAGUGGUGGAGGUGACAUCCUGUCAUGGGCUGCAAGUUCAGCUCCAACUUUUUUGCUGCCUCCUGGGAACUGCAGCAGCUCAGUCAAGUCAGCUCGAGGUUUGAAAUGUGCUGAGGGACGAGGUACUUCGUGCCCAUGGGUGUAGCAAAGGAGCAGGGCUGGUUCUGGCAAUGUUUUUAGGAAAACAGGAAGACUCCUAAGUAAUGGAAGGGACCAGAAAAUCUUUUGUCACUUCAAUUUCACCAUCAAAUUUUUGUUGAAAAUCACCUAAAAGCAGAGCAGUGAUGGAACUCUGAGAAAUAUCCUAAUCAGACGCACACCAUGCCCAAAAGCCAAAAUUCAUCUCCAAAAUAUCAGUGUUGUAUCUCUUCUUUAGAAACUGCUAUGUAAAUGCUUCCAAAUUAUUUCACUUACAGGUGUUUGUUUUAGCAAUGAAUUAUUUGACCCCAUUCUGACCUCACUCAGGACCUCAACAAACCCAUCUCUGAGACAUCACUGAGAGAUGAAAAAAGAAGUUACAGAUGUGUGCUCCUCACAAGGAGUAUCUAUCAAGGAGGACACAGUCAAAAGGGUCACCAAGACUUUUUUCCUGUAAGAAAAUGAACAAUAAAAAUUGUUCACCAUUUGGUUUUGGGGCUGGGUUGUUUUGUUGGUUUUUGAGGGGUUUUUUUGUACAAGAGAAUGAAAAUCUGUUUGCAGUUGUAACUUUUACAGUAUGUCACGUAUUUUCUUUUUUUUUUCCCGUCUUCCAUAAUUAUUUUUACAGAGAGCUGUUCUUUCAAUCAGGUCACUGAUCUCUGAAAAACAAACCUUCAAGUCUGCUUUUGAAAAAUUGGACCUUCCUUUCCUUUCAAUCGAAAGAUUCACAACUUUCCCGUACGAGCCAAGACUCAAAAAAUAACAUAAAUCCUUUCAGUGCUGUCUCUCUCUUUGCCUGUGUAACAGAUAUUUCUGCUAACAUUUACUUUUGUAAUUUUUCACAUUAUUCUAGCUCUCAGAGGUUAAUAUUUACCAUUCAUUUCGAUAUUCACAAACUACAGAGGUAGGAUUGCAAAUAUCCGCCCUGGGAAAAUGAGCAGCUCUGCCAGAAAAUAUGUUCGAAUUUCUUUGUGGAACUGUGGGAGACAACACACCACUGACAACAUUUCACUGGAUUCAUCUGUUCGUGUUUUAAACAUCUGCACAAUCAAUUCAUCCAGCACAACAGCUGGAAUUUCAAAAGGAUAACCAGAUAAUUACAGCAAAUGAGGUUUAGUCCCUUUGAACAGUGAAGACGCACUCAGCAAAAU
Long non-coding RNA from Corvus hawaiiensis (hawaiian crow), 3103 nucleotides. RefSeq lists it as uncharacterized. The record is from RefSeq and is a predicted model, not a curated record. The transcript has 3 exons. Lineage: Eukaryota; Metazoa; Chordata; Aves; Passeriformes; Corvidae.